RNAcentral lists this ribosomal RNA (1523 nucleotides) under metagenome. RNAcentral's name for it is "bacterial SSU rRNA". It matches the Rfam family "Bacterial small subunit ribosomal RNA". The record is from RNAcentral.
AGAGUUUGAUUCUGGCUCAGAACGAACGCUGGCGGCGUGGAUAAGACAUGCAAGUCGAACGGAAAAUUCUUGGAGCUUGCUUUGAGGGUUUUUAGUGGCGGACGGGUGAGUAUCACGUGAGCAACCUGCCCAGGAGGUCGGGAUAGCCCGGGGAAACUCGGAUUAAUACCGUAUGGCAUCGGGGAUGGCAUCAUCCCCUGAUUAAAGGUGGGGACCCUUCGGGGCCUGCCGCUUCUGGAUGGGCUCGCGGCCUAUCAGCUUGAUGGUGAGGUAACGGCUCACCAUGGCUACGACGGGUAGCUGGUCUGAGAGGAUGACCAGUCACACUGGAACUGAGACACGGUCCAGACACCUACGGGUGGCAGCAGUCGAGAAUCAUUCGCAAUGGGCGAAAGCCUGACGGUGCGACGCCGCGUGGAGGAUGAAGGCCCUAGGGUCGUAAACUCCUGUCAUCGGUGAGUAAGGCGGGUCGGUUAAUAGCCGGGUCCGUUGAUAGUAGCCGAAGAGGAAGGGACGGCUAACUUCGUGCCAGCAGCCGCGGUAAUACGAAGGUCCCAAGCGUUGUUCGGAAUUACUGGGCGUAAAGCGUGCGUAGGCGGCGAGGUAAGUCAGAUGUGAAAUCCCGGGGCUCAACCCCGGAACUGCAUCCGAUACUGCCUUGCUAGAGUAAUGGAGGGGCAUCUGGAAUUCACGGUGUAGCAGUGAAAUGCGUGGAUAUCGUGAGGAACACUAGUGGCGAAGGCGAGAUGCUGGACAUUUACUGACGCUGAGGUACGAAGGCCAGGGGAGCGAACGGGAUUAGAUACCCCGGUAGUCCUGGCAGUAAACGGUGCUCGCUUGGUGUGGGGGGAUUCGACCCCCUCCGUGCCGAAGCUAACGCGUUAAGCGAGCCGCCUGGGGAGUAGGGCCGCAAGGUUAAAACUCAAAGAAAUUGACGGGGACCCGCACAAGCGGUGGAGUAUGUGGCUUAAUUCGAUGCAACGCGAAGAACCUUACCUAGGCUUGACAUGCGUCUCUAAGCCGUUCGAAAGGCGGUGAGCGGAGCAAUCCGCAAUUCGCACAGGUGCUGCAUGGCUGUCGUCAGCUCGUGUCGUGAGAUGUUUGGUUAAGUCCAGCAACGAGCGCAACCCCUGUGUCCUGUUACCAGCGCGUUAUGGCGGGGACUCUGGACAGACUGCCCAGAUCAACUGGGAGGAAGGUGGGGAUGACGUCAAGUCAGUAUGGCCCUUAUGCCUAGGGCUGCACACGUACUACAAUGCCCAGCACAAUGUGAACCGAUACCGUAAGGUGGAGGAAAUCCUGAAAACUGGGCUCAGUCCGGAUUGGGGGCUGCAACUCGCCCCCAUGAAGUCGGAAUCGCUAGUAAUGGCACAUCAGCUACGGUGCCGUGAAUACGUUCCCGGGUCUUGUACACACCGCCCGUCACAUCAUGGAAGCCGAUCACACCCGAAGUGCCCCCGCCAACCUCGUGAGGCAGGGCCCUAAGGUGAGAUUGGUAACUGGGAUGAAGUCGUAACAAGGUA